This 274-nucleotide ribosomal RNA is filed under the name uncultured bacterium. RNAcentral describes it as "partial 16S ribosomal RNA". It matches the Rfam family "Bacterial small subunit ribosomal RNA", at positions 523 to 796 of the family's 1533-position model. The record is from RNAcentral.
AUACAGAGGGUGCGAGCGUUAAUCGGAAUUACUGGGCGUAAAGCGCGCGUAGGCGGUUAUUUAAGUCAGAUGUGAAAUCCCUGGGCUCAACCUAGGAACUGCAUCUGAAACUGGGUAACUAGAGUUUAGGAGAGGGGAGUAGAAUUUCGGGUGUAGCGGUGAAAUGCAUAGAGAUCCGAAGGAAUACCAGUGGCGAAGGCGACUAUCUGGCCUAGAACUGACGCUGAGGUGCGAAAGCGUGGGUAGCAAACGGGAUUAGAAACCCUAGUAGUCC